This 327-nucleotide ribosomal RNA is filed under the name uncultured eukaryote. RNAcentral's name for it is "partial 18S ribosomal RNA". It matches the Rfam family "Eukaryotic small subunit ribosomal RNA", at positions 1470 to 1796 of the family's 1831-position model. The record is from RNAcentral.
CCCUUAGAUGUUCUGGGCCGCACGCGCGCUACACUGAUUCAUGCAACGAGUUUUGUCCUUGGCUGAAAGGCCUGGGUAAUCUUUGAACGUGAAUCGUGCUGGGGAUAGAUGAUUGCAAUUAUUCAUCUUCAACGAGGAAUUCCUAGUAAACGCAAGUCAUCAGCUUGCAUUGAUUACGUCCCUGCCCUUUGUACACACCGCCCGUCGCACCUACCGAUUGAAUGGUCCGGUGAAAUCUUCGGAUCUGAGAGAUGUUGGAUUAAUUUCUGACGCCUUUUGGAAAAGUCGCUUAAACCUUNUNAUUUAUNGGAAGGUGAANUCGUANCA